CGCCCACCCGCGCCCUCGCCCCUCCCGGUGCCGCCCCCGCUCCUCUCGGCUCCCUACCCGUCUCCCUCUGCGCCGGGCACGGCGGGCCCUACCCCAUGGGCGAGGUGGCGAGGGCAGAAAAUCCUUGGGGCGGCGGCGAGCGGGGGCGAGGACCCAGCUGCAGCCUCUGGGGCGUCUCCGGAAAGUUUAGCGCCUGAGGGAGUGAACUCUGGAGCUGACCUUCCUGGUCUCUAAGCCAUGUGUCCCCGGUGGGAUUUGGCUGUUCACAGUUCUUGGUUUAGCAUCUUCUUCUGGAAACAACCAAGGGAGGCAGGCCAGACAAAGAAUCCCACCAUUACCAUUUUAAACCAAGCUGCUAUCAUCUCCAGCCUGGGAAGAUUAGCCCUGAGCGAACAUCUGCUGCCGAUCCUCCUGGUUUUGCUGAGGAAGACUGGCCCUGAGCUAACAUCCGUGCCCAUCUUCCUCUAUUUUAUAUGUGGGACGCCUGCCACAGCAUGGCUUGAUAAGCAGUGCCAUGUCCGCACUUGGGAUCCGAACUGGUGAACCCUGAGCCCCCAAACUGGAACAUGCGAACUUAACUGCUGUGCCACUGGGCUGGCCCCCCCCAAAAUACAAUAAAAAUAAAAAUUGUACAGUUUAAGGGCAUUAAGUACAUUUACAAUGCUGUGAAACCAUUACCACUAUCUAGUUCCAGAACAUUUUCAUCAUCCCAAAAGGAAACCCUAUACUCAUUAAGUGGUGACUUUUCAUCCCCGUUUCAAUAACUUGAUAACCAUAAUUUUUUUAAGCCAUUUUAUCUUCUGUCACUUUAUAAAAGUUUGGGUUGAGUAUCUUAUCCAGUCAGCCUGAUGCCCCAGAAAAAAAGAAUCAUGACAGCUUCCAAGAAAUCCAGUGGAAAUAACUGUAUUGUCAUAUAUGUCAUAACUGGUUAAAAAAAC
RNAcentral lists this long non-coding RNA (938 nucleotides) under Equus asinus (donkey). RNAcentral's name for it is "lncRNA (ENSEASG00005037747.1)". The record is from RNAcentral. Lineage: Eukaryota; Metazoa; Chordata; Mammalia; Perissodactyla; Equidae.